RNAcentral lists this ribosomal RNA (465 nucleotides) under Vreelandella stevensii. RNAcentral's name for it is "partial 16S ribosomal RNA". It matches the Rfam family "Bacterial small subunit ribosomal RNA", at positions 338 to 795 of the family's 1533-position model. The record is from RNAcentral. Lineage: Bacteria; Pseudomonadati; Pseudomonadota; Gammaproteobacteria; Oceanospirillales; Halomonadaceae.
CCUACGGGGGGCAGCAGUGGGGAAUAUUGGACAAUGGGGGCAACCCUGAUCCAGCCAUGCCGCGUGUGUGAAGAAGGCCCUCGGGUUGUAAAGCACUUUCAGUGAGGAAGAACGCCUGGUGGUUAAUACCCAUCAGGAAAGACAUCACUCACAGAAGAAGCACCGGCUAACUCCGUGCCAGCAGCCGCGGUAAUACGGAGGGUGCGAGCGUUAAUCGGAAUUACUGGGCGUAAAGCGCGCGUAGGUGGCUUGAUAAGCCGGUUGUGAAAGCCCCGGGCUCAACCUGGGAACGGCAUCCGGAACUGUCAAGCUAGAGGGCAGGAGAGGAAGGUAGAAUUCCCGGGGUGGCGGUGAAAUGCGUAGAGAUCGGGAGGAAUACCAGUGGCGAAGGCGGCCUUCUGGACUGACACUGACACUGAGGUGCGAAAGCGUGGGUAGCAAACAGGAUUAGAUACCCUUGUAGUC